AACCCUCUGUGAGAAGUGAGCGAGCCUUCAGCCAGGCCCCGUGGCGCAGGCCUCCUCUCUCCACAGAGGCUUUUUAUCCGGCUGAGCACAGCGGAAGGUACUGCCCUGCUCUGCCGGCAAGUGGGCAUUCCAGAGCCCAUCUCCAAGGGGAACUGUCAGGAAGUACCUACACCCCGCACAGCCGCACGCUGGCGAAGCUGUGUAACGAAGGUCUCAGAGCAGACGGCUGUUACCAGUGCACGAGAGAGCAUCUGCAUGGGGCACUCCCUCUUGCGUGCUGAAAUAAUUAUCUUAUUGAAUCCUUGAAGUAAUAAUAAAGAAAUGGGAAUCACUACCCCACUUCUAUGGGUGAGGAAACAGCUGCUAAAUGACUUGGCCACAGUCACAGAGUCAGAAAGUCUGACUCCAGGGGCGCCUGGGUGGCUCAGUUGGCUAAGCGUCCAACUUGGGCUCAGGUCAUGAUCUUGCGGUUCGUGAGUUCAAGCCCCCGCAUCAGGCUCUGUGCUGACAGCUCAGAGCCUGGAGCCUGCUUCGGAUCCUGUAUCUCCCUGUCUCUGUCCCUCCCCGACUCAUACUCUGUCUCUCGAAAAUGAGUAAACGUGAAAUAAAUAAUAAAUAAAUAAAUAGUCUGA
Molecule: long non-coding RNA, 632 nt
Organism: Neofelis nebulosa (Clouded leopard)
Lineage: Eukaryota; Metazoa; Chordata; Mammalia; Carnivora; Felidae
Exons: 2
Source: RefSeq, a predicted model, not a curated record